This is a long non-coding RNA of Episyrphus balteatus (marmalade hoverfly), 1637 nucleotides long. RefSeq lists it as uncharacterized. The transcript is spliced from 3 exons. Lineage: Eukaryota; Metazoa; Arthropoda; Insecta; Diptera; Syrphidae. The record is from RefSeq and is a predicted model, not a curated record.
AAUAAGUAGAUGGUUUGUAUCAAAAAAAAAUAAUACCUUUUCUCGCAUCUUUACACAACUGUCAAUAUGAACGAGUGAAGAAACACUCUCUCUUUUUAAAAAUUUUAACUUAGCUUAAUUUGUAAAAAAAAUUAUUAAGACAGGCUUUCAAAAUAAUUAUUAUUGUUUAUAGUCUGAUUUUGAAUAUUGUGAUGCCUGUCAAGGUUUGAAUUAGCUUGAAGCAGAAACUCAUUGGGAUCCAACGCUUUCUGGGCAAGGACCCAGUCUAGCAUAGAUAUAGAAGCUUCGAGCCUCGAGCCCGGAUAAUUACCAGACCGGUCCAAUACUUAUUUUUUUGUACCGAGGAAUAACGUGGCAUGCGCUUAACUUUAUGGCAAGGAUCGCAACUUGCAUAAACAUAGAAGCUCUGAUCCUUUCUCUGCCACCGGGUACAAAGGGGUUAAGUCGUAAAUGAUAGUUUGCAAAAAAAAAUGCGAUUGAAGUUGAGGAAAGAGUUGCUCUAAAUUUAUGUUUUUAAAACCAAAUAAAAGAGAAAAAAGAGAUUAUUCUUAUUUCAUCAAAACCCGAAAAUGCAAUUUUGUGACUUGACCCCUUUGUACCCGGCGGCAAAGAAUUAUUGGCUGUUCUGCUAUUUAAGUGCUGUUCUGCUAUUUCAGGGAAAGGCUCCAGACCAACACAAAAAUGAGCUUGGGAACGUUUUGAUUCUACGAUUUCAUAAUAGGCUCGAGGCUCGAAGCUUCUAUAUCUAUGCAAGACUGGGUCCUUGCCAUAAAGUUAAGAAUGUCACGUUAUUCCUUGAAAUACAAAUUUAAGUAUUGCACCGGUCUCAUAAUUCUCCCGGCAUGAAUUCCAUAGGAAACGUCUUUUGGGGCUUAUCCCUUUUUGUACGUUAUUUUGUAUCAAAAAGUAUGAAUUCUUUGACUUUUUUUAAGGCAAUCCUUAUCAACAUGAUAAGCGCAGGUAAAUGGGACAGAAAAAAAGUUCAAGACAUUUAGACAAAAACCAAAAAUUUUAUUUUUUUGCUUGGGCCUAAUAAUAUGGCAAGGCUUUUUGAUACACACCAUUUUUUGUUUUUGCAUCUUUGAUAUAUGUAAAUAUAGCAUAUGGUUUUCUUACUCGCUAACAGCCAACAUAUAUGUAGUUGACAAUGGGAAAAAACAGGAUUCACUAAAUUAAUACCACAUAUUUUUAAAGAUAGACCUUAUUUAUGGUUAUAGCAAAUGCCAAUGUUACAGAAAAUUGAAGACGCUUAAAUUCAAAUGGGAAAACUGACAGAAUCAUUGGACCUUGAGAAAUCAACACAUCUUCGCCUUUGAAUUUUCCACAAAAAAUGGUAGCUUCAAUUAGCCAUUAACUUCUUCAAGACAAGUCUUGUACAUUGCAAAGUUUAGGUUGCUGUAUGUUCUGAAGCAUUAUAAUGGGCGCUACUACUUUCCGCGCUAAAUGAUGUGGCGGCAGUCCUGGUAUAUCCAAUGAAUUCAAAAAUUUCGUUUGGUAAUUUAAUACAAUGCUUUCAUUUGUGAUAGGGUCAACCGAUUUGUUGGCAAAAAAAUUGUGUGUUUAUAUCGUUAAAAAUUGUUGCAUUGAUUUCAGAAACAUUUUUUUUGUACCAGCCAUUAUUGCACGUUACUAAACCA